UGUCUGAAAGCUUUGGACUGAAGCAGUGGAUUUUUAACCCACAGAAGAAAUUAUUCUCAGACUA
This 64-nucleotide transfer RNA is filed under the name Phascolosoma sp. MZK-2017. RNAcentral's name for it is "tRNA-Lys". Lineage: Eukaryota; Metazoa; Annelida; Sipuncula; Phascolosomatiformes; Phascolosomatidae. The record is from RNAcentral.